GAUGAACGCUGGCGGCGUGCCUAAUACAUGCAAGUCGAGCGGUAAGGCCUCUUCGGAGGUACACGAGCGGCGGACGGCUGAGUAACACGUAGGAACGUACCCCAAAGUGAGGAAUAAGCACCAGAAAUGGUGUCUAAUACCGCAUGUGCUCUAAGGAGUAAAGCUUCGGCGCUUUGGGAACGGCCUGCGCAUGACUAGCUUGUUGGUGAGGUAAAAGCUCACCAAGGCGACGAUCAUUAGCUGGUCUGAGAGGAUGAUCAGCCAGACUGGGACUGAGACACGGCCCAGACUCCUACGGGAGGCAGCAGUAGGGAAUUUUCCACAAUGGGCGAAAGCCUGAUGGAGCAACGCCGCGUGCAGGAUGAAUGCCUUCGGGUUGUAAACUGCUUUUAUAUGUGACGAUUAUGACGGUAGCAUAUGAAUAAGGAUCGGCUAACUCCGUGCCAGCAGCCGCCGUAA
Molecule: ribosomal RNA, 459 nt
Filed under: uncultured bacterium
Lineage: Bacteria
Description: partial 16S ribosomal RNA
Rfam family: Bacterial small subunit ribosomal RNA
Source: RNAcentral